Felis catus (domestic cat) is the source of this 5787-nucleotide long non-coding RNA. RefSeq lists it as uncharacterized. The transcript has 2 exons. Lineage: Eukaryota; Metazoa; Chordata; Mammalia; Carnivora; Felidae. The record is from RefSeq and is a predicted model, not a curated record.
UGGGUUCGCCUGCCCACCUAGGGCUGAAGUGCUCUGCGUCUGAGUGAAGAGGGUAAAGCUCGUGGGCCAUGACCAGUGGGUGAGGAGCACUGACUGCCUGGGACUGAAGGAGACUCUAGGCUCUACAACAGCCAUGACCUUGGGAGGACACGCACACCGAGCAAAGAGGAGAGGAGAUGUGACCGAAGGUUUGGGCUACGGGAUGUGAUCUCCUGACAGCUGAAGGCUGCCUCUCCAGUCACCAGUGGAAUCUUGAUAUGGCUGAUAAAGAACAAGCCUAAAUAUUCUUGUUCCAUCCUCUCCUAACUCAUGACUUGGAUGUUAAUGGAUUUCUUACCCUCAAGGUCAAACAUUAUUCCUUUUUUCUACUAGCUUUAACAGUACAGAACUUCAAAUGCCUAUAAAAGUAGGAUAGCCUCUCAAUUCUGAAAUUCCUGUGGGGCUGCUAUCACUGGUGCUCCUACUUCCUUGGACCCUAACUAAUGCUGUGGCCAAUACUGGACUUCUCCCCUGCCCUCAAAGGCCUGGGGUGUGCAUCCACAAUCUCUGACUUUGGAGUUCUGUCUUGAGCACACAGACUAUGCUUCCGUGACUUCCCUGCAAUGUCCUGCUGGAGCUGCAGGUUUGCUUUGGUCCUGAGUUUUAAUAACUCCGUAUCAUAGGACUACCAGACAUGGGGGCUUUUCUAGAAAGUCCCUAUGGAGGCAGGCAUUCAAAGAGACCUGUAUUCCACUUGUAGGGAAGGCUGCAUAAAUUGGUCUUAAAAUGUUUACAGUUAAAGGUUACACUUCACUGUGUAAAGACUUAAAAAGGAGUGCUUGUUUGGUCCACUUUUAUGCCCAGUCCUCAAUCUGAGUAUGGUGGGCUAUAAAUACCUUCAGUCUGUAGAGUAACUAGGGGAGGGUGGAAGGAGGCAAGGAAUUGAAUCUACUUUCUUAAUUAAGCCUUUAAUGCCAUAGUAUCAAGACAAAACCUCCGGUCUCCUGGAGAAAGCCUGAUCUAUUGGUGUUACCAAGAUCUGGUGACUGAAAGUGAAUGUAACAGGUCUCUUGACGCAGCUCUUACUUCCUAUCACCUGAUCUGCCAGCUCUCAAGUGAGCUAAUCUUAAGUAACCAGCCAUAGCUAACUUUUGGAAUUCACACCUAAGUUUAAAACCGUUCUAGUGAAUAAGGCUUCAGGGGCUGUGAGAUGGCAGUACCUCCCAUGCUUCUGUGUUCCCAUGUGGGAUCUUCACAGCCUGUAAAUUGAAUCUUUUCUCUGGAAAUAGUGAGAGGCUUAGGGAAACUGCAAGGAGACAACUUAAUAGCAAACGAAGGCAACCAAGUUAGCUAAGGAUGUUGAGGUUUGGGGUCGCUGUUCCUUCCAGCCUAAAUUAGCUGUUGUCCAGUUUCGGUUCUUGGUCUGUUAAAUCCAAAGACCACCUGGACGUGAGUAUGGUCUCAUCUUCAACUGAAAUAUCCUGCCUGUCUGGGGUUGGGGGAGCUCUUCUAUUAUAUUCUAGAUGUGAAAACUUAAGUAUGUUGCUGACCUAGAGUAGGCUAGAAGUUUUUGUGAUCUCUUUUCCCUGAGAACAUAGGUUGGCAAACCUUUUCUAUAAAGGUCUGGAUAGUAAUGAUCUUAGGUUUUGUGGACUGAGGCAGUAAUUGAGAAUAUUCUGGUGGUACAAAGGAUGAGGAAACUUAAGACUUAUAAAACUAAACCCGGUAUGAAAAUUUGUACAGCUUUAAUAAGAAAAAUAGAACUUUGUCUCUGGAGACCUGAGGUUCAAAUUUCGUGGUCCCAAUCAAAUUGAUAGCAAAAGUUGACUUGUCAAUGCUGAUCUAGAACAAGUCUUUUUCAAAUAGACCUGUAUUACAAGAAUGUACUUCAUCAGCUUUGCUUUAUACCAAUAAAAGCAUCAGCUGAACUAUUACAGGAGUAGGGGUCAGGGGCAUGCUCGAUACAGGUGGUAAAGACGGGGAUAGGGUCAGAAACAAAGGGGUGCAUACAACCCAUUCAAGGACCCAAGUGGAUUGACCUAGGCAAUCUACCAAUACCAUUUCACUCAGUAUGUUGACAACAAAGACCAAUAAUGGAACCAGUCAUCGGUGAGGAGCUGGGGUGGGGCCAGUACCCUCUCACACUGCUAGUGAGACUAUAGAAUGGCGAGACCAUAGCUAUUAAACAGCUGUUCUAUGACUAGAAAGAAUUGGUGUGUCUCUAACCAUGAGGCUGAGGUCUCGAUCUCCCUUGGAUUUCAGUAUAGAACUGCAACUACCCUGGGCCAUAGCACAAAUAAUGGGGUUGUUGGGAUGUAGAAGACCAGCCUAGGUAUACUAGGACUUCCUGUUCUUUGACCUAGCCUCUUGGUUGGGUCCUGAAGGAUAUCUGGCGGAUCUUGGAUAUCUUUACCUCCAGUCCUCCAGGCUGGUCCCCUCAGAGCUCAAAAGCCACCCUAAUUCCAUUUGGUCCUUGAGCUAUGAAGGCAGGAGGGUGGGCGGUAGUGUUAGGCAAUAAAAUACACCUUAAAGGACAAAGAGGCAUAAAAUGUGGUUAAAGGUAGAUUAGGGGAAAGAACCGUGUAUAUAUAGUAAACAUGGUAGAUCCAGCUUCCUGUACUGCAGAAAACGGGAAACCAAUCUUUGAUCUCUUUACUUCUUCUAGUUAAGACUAGACAUGCAGUCAGUUUCUGCCAACUAGAUCCACUUGAGUCUAUCUUAGCAAGCCAGGAUCUGAGAGUAUCCUUCUUGUUUGAGAGGUGUUCUAAUACUGGCACUAGCUUGUAGGGGUCAAGGAAUUUGGGUAGCUUUAGUUUCUCACCUUCCAGGUCCUGGCAGAGGUAUCCGGUCUCCUAGUGGGCAGGUUUCAUGGUGCUAUUCAGACAAUCCUUCUCAGACAGCUAAAAGCUGCUAGUCUUCAAAGCCCUUUUAAACUUAAUCUUGCUUAAGAUAGCCAGAAUGGCUUGUUUCCUAGUCCUCGACUCCCAUCCAGGACUUAAGGUCAUGUUAAGAAUACCUAGCCAUUGAAAUAGGUAGGUGUCCUCAGUUAUGGUAAAGGUCAUUCUGGUUGCAAGAUAAAGCACUGUAGGGGCUGGCUUCCUAGCUUGUACUGGCUGGAAAUACUGAAGGGAAAAAUGGAAGGAUUUAAGAUUUGGAUAGAAGCGAGUGGGCUUAGUGGUGAAUUUAGGAGAAAAGGAACAACUAAGUGGUGUCAAAUACUAGGUAAUCAAAAUUAAGCAUGUAGAUAUGCUAAGUUAAUGAGUUAAACAGCCGUGUGCUAGUUGGAGGAUUCAGGGGGAAGGUCAUUAAUUCAGUCCCAGGCAAUCUUGGUUUGUAUUGCCUAUGGGACAUCAGUACAAACCUCAAACAGGCAAUUAAGACCACUGAACUUAGAAUCCCCUGAAGCAAGGACUGUACCCUGAAGGUAAACGUGGAAUUCAUGGUCUAGGGAGCAUAUAAUUAGCAAACCAUUUCCCAAACUGCCCAUGUGCCAAAAUGGGGCACCUAGGAAAGUCUCUGCGCUUAAUGGUUGGGCAGGGACACAGGCAAAAGGGGGAAAGUAGGUGGUCGUGAAGACUGAAGAACAAAGACUACCACAAGGUGAUCAAAGGAAAGCAAGAGAAGUCAAAUGUGGGUGUCUGAGUUGAAUGGGAUCCUGUCUCGCCCUUAUCAAAAUGGGUAACUUGGUGCCCAUAGAUACUGUUAAAAUAGUGGAACCAGAAGCUUGGCUGGACCACAUAAAGAAGUAAAGAUGGAGUAGAGCAACUCUUGCACAAUAGAGGGGAAGAAAUAAGGGUGGUAUCUUAUGGAGCCUCAAGAUGAGAGCUGUCCCCUAUUAAUCUAUGGGAUCACCCUCUCCAUUAUCCUUAACAUACAAGACUACCUAAGAUAGGGGAUUGUAGAGAAACGCAAAAGGUUUGAUGUAGGCAGAGAACUAGGCUUUAUAGGAGAACAUCGUGUAAGAAGGUAGAUCAGUCAUUAUAGACUAUACAUAGGCCGGUGACAAAGUUCUUCCUGCCACCUUAAGGAGAGAACAGUUGUCAGAAUGGAGACAAGCACGUGCAACGUGCUCUCACACCCAUGUGUAUCUGUUGGUCACAAAUGUGAGGUGGGUGCUAGGGAUGGGAGAAGAUGGUCCGGAUACACUAGCAUCUAAUCCUGCUUGAUCCAGGAAGUUCUCUGCCAUGUUUUCUUGGGGCUCUGGCAUAGGCUUUUGGCUCUUAAAUGUUCUAUGGAGUGAUCCUUGUUUGUGUGGCUGUGGGUGCUGGGGAGGGGAGGAGGGGGAAGCCGGAUAUUCCUGGAGGUAGACAGAGCAAUAGGAUGCUUAAAUGAGCUAGCCUGACUUAGAUCCAGCCAUUUUGACCUUCCCUUGGCCUAAGGGGUACUAAAAAUUUCUCUGGAGAAAUGUGCUGUGACCUUCUAGGUGCUGUUCUGGGAAGCCUCUCCCACAUUAGCCUCAGAAAAGGACUCGGGAGCAUAUCAAAUUGGCUAUCUCCUGUCCUAGUGUCCUAUAAACAGAAGGCUGACUAGUCCUACUUCUAAAAAUACCUGCUCCUUAAACUUAUUACAACUACUUCAGUAUUUCUCAGACAGGACUUGGGUAGGGAACCCUAACUAUACUACUGCAACCAAACAAAGUGAUCCCUAAUCUCCAGAGUCCUGUUUUACCAGUUACCUUCUAGUUCCUUCCACCCCUAAUUGGAAUUAGGGUCCUUUGUAGAGUCUAUAUGCUAUCACAUUUGGAGUCUUGUCUCCAUAUAUAGGCUUCUCCAUCUUUCCUUUCAAUUCUUUUGAACCAGGUUCACCUGUCCUACAGAAUCCUCCCCAUUUGGGACUUUGCCAACUGUAUCUCUGGUGUACUUCAAUACAUUUCCUUCCCUGUGUUUCCUGUAAGUCUGUGGUUGGCUCUGAAAGGAAAUUCGAGUUUACUUCUUGAAGAUUGCCUCUUCCAUAGCCAUGUACUACCAUCGAGAGAGGUGUACUGCUGCUUGCUGAACUUCACAUGGAUUAGGAUCUAGGUCUACUUCCUAGGGAUUGCAAUUAGGCAGCGUUCUCUCUAAAGAGCUAGCCCAUUAAAAAGCAGCAUAAAUGCAGGAUUCCUUGCCUUCACCUACCAGUUCUAUCUUAACCAAAAAUAGUCUCCUUAAAUAACUUUAGCUGAUGGAAGCCAACUGAAACAUCCUCGUGGUGGUCAGCUAAAUAUACAGAAAGGUCUCCUGGAGACCACUGUCCUGCAGCAAUUACAAGGCAUGGCAUUACAGGUGCUCAAAGAACAUGGAGUGCUUCUAUAGAAAUCCAUAAAACAGCAUUAGUUUGUAUAGGUCACAGCUGCCUGGGAGUAAGAUCGUUGGCCUUUGAGAAUAAGUAGGAGAUUGAAACCUGAGCAAAACAAUGCUGUCAGGUUAAAACCUAUAUAUACAUAUAUGUAUACAUGUGUAUAUAUACAUAUAUACCCACCCACAUAGAACCACUUUUAAGAGAUGCUUCUGAAAUGCCAGUACUCAAGAUUCUUAAUGCUAAGGAAAAGCAGAAUUCUGAGGCACUGGGGACCUAUUAGUCCGACUUCUAAAGUCCUUGAAUUUUGUACUUACACUGAUCUGAUCAGACAAGCAGUUUGUUUAAAAGGAAACUACUGAUCCUGUCAGUAAAACUCUAGUUUCCUCUAAAUGGUCAAUGACUCUUAAAACAUGUUCUGUUAAAUAGGAUUUAGUGGGGUAUAUUAGAUACCUACUCAGCUUUCAAAGACCCCAGUCUUGAUUUUUUUUUUUUUCUUAAAUGCAUACUCUCAGGGUGUACACUUGUGCUUGA